RNAcentral lists this ribosomal RNA (253 nucleotides) under uncultured bacterium. RNAcentral's name for it is "partial 16S ribosomal RNA". It matches the Rfam family "Bacterial small subunit ribosomal RNA", at positions 524 to 776 of the family's 1533-position model. The record is from RNAcentral.
UACGGGGGGAGCAAGCGUUGUUCGGAUUUACCGGGCGUAAAGGGCGCGUAGGCGGCGCGACAAGUCACUUGUGAAAUCUCCGGGCUUAACUCGGAGCGGCCAAGUGAUACUGUCGUGCUAGAGUGCGGAAGGGGCAACUGGAAUUCUCGGUGUAGCGGUGAAAUGCGUAGAUAUCGAGAGGAACACCUGCGGCGAAGGCGGGUUGCUGGGCCGACACUGACGCUGAAGCGCGAAAGCCAGGGGAGCGAACGGG